UGCUUAACAGUAAGUUGGUUUAGCUGCAUAGUUAUGCUAUCGGAGGCUUCAAACUAGGGUCUCCUGGUCUGCAGUAGGCAGAUGGUCUGGUUCUGCUCCAGGGUUGAGAGUGGCAUUGUGAUGUCGUGGGACGAACAUGAACCCUGGAGCCAGACAGCCUGGGGUUUGGUUCUGGAGGCCACUUACCUUGGGCAAGUCAUUCAAUUUUUUUCUGAACCUCAGCCUUCUUUAUCUGUGGCUGAAGUUUACGUUGGAGGGCGACUUCCUGAUUGCCAGUUAGCAUACGUGUCCGGCUACCAGCUGCCUGACUGGCUGAGGAUGCUCUUGGUUUGUUCAAGGGUGAACGUUCUCCCCCUGGCUUGCAGGAAGAGGGCAGCGAGGUGCGCCAGGGAGGCACGUGAUAGUGCCCUAUAAGCCAGUAGAGGAAAUGUUGUAAAGUGUGAAUGCACAGGCUUAGAUUCCCCUGUCCCUGAGUCGGGGGCAUGUGCUCGUGGAGAAUGACCCUAUCAAGUUCAAGGUAUGGCAUCUCCUGAUCCAGCAACAGGAUUUGUUCCAGAGAAAAAUCCCCAGGUCUUCGGACUGUUGACAGAUGGCCGUGACUGUGCUUAAUGUGGUCAUCAAAUUGAGAAGGGUCCGUCUCAUCUUUGAGUAUGCAAUUACCUUUAUAGCUGAUUAUGAUACCCUCAGAUCAUAUCAUGAGGUGGACAACAUGAGUCCAUUGCCCAUGCUGACAACUGGUAUCUUUAUAGACCCACUCACCUACCAGAGAUGUACGACAGACCCCAAAUGGUCAGUCAAAAAGUGAACUUGCGCUAAGACAAGACCCAGCCAGCAUCAGUGACAUUAGACACAAGAUAGAAAUCAGAGAAAAGUUACUGUCCAGCAGUUUUAACCACCAAUACCCAUUUAUUUUAAUGGAAAAAAAAAUCUCUGCAUUCUAUAUGUUCCAAAAGGAUUUACUAUGGAAACAAAUACAAUAUAUGGAACUCUAUCUGUAUAAUUUCACUACAACAAAGACAACAUAUGACUUCUACUUCCUACAGAAGGCUAACUGAAAGCACAAGUGCAAACAUAGAUUGCAUAAGAAAGCGUGUGUGUGUGCGUGUGCGGUUAAAACCUUUAGUAAAGCAACUGCAUUAAAAUAUGCUAAGACACUUACCUUACCCUAGUUCGUGGCGAGCUCUAAUCAAAAGCCACAAGCUGUCACUA
This is a non-coding RNA of Macaca mulatta (Rhesus monkey), 1209 nucleotides long. The record is from RefSeq and is a predicted model, not a curated record. NCBI's taxonomy places the organism in Eukaryota, Metazoa, Chordata, Mammalia, Primates, Cercopithecidae.